AACCCAUGAUUAGGACAUUUCCUCGGUAACACCUGGAAACACUCCCAUGCCUCAUAAAAAGCCUCCUCAACACAUUGUCUGAAUGUACAGAUUUGAAACUUAGCAU
Non-coding RNA from Lupinus angustifolius (narrow-leaved blue lupine), 106 nucleotides. The record is from Rfam. NCBI's taxonomy places the organism in Eukaryota, Viridiplantae, Streptophyta, Magnoliopsida, Fabales, Fabaceae.